UACGAGUGGUUGGUUGCUGGUAGAGACGCUUCCACCUCCUACAUCCACUAUUUCCAAAGGUCUAAAAGAAGGUCAGUCGGAUUCUAAUGAGUGGUAUCUUCGGUUCAUGGUGCAGUAGAACGAUCAGCCUACCACCAGGGUCAUAAAACUACCCCUGGAAAUGCAUAAAACUCCUUAGAAAACCUUGUCAAAUGUGUGCUUGGGAAUAUGAACCAGUUUCUAAAGGUCAAAAAGGUCAGUCGGGUUCUAAUGAGUGUAUCUUAGGUUCACGGUGCAGAAGAAGGAUCAGCCUACCACCAGGGUCAUAAAAAUACCCCUGGAAAUGCAUAAAACUCCUCAGAAAGCCUUGUCAAAUGUGUGCUUGGGAAUAUGAACCAGUUUCUAAAGGUCUAAAAGGAGGUCAGUCGGGUUCUAAUGAGUGGUAUCUUCGGUUCACGGUGCAGAAAAACGAUCAGCCUACCACCAGGGUCAUAAAACUACCCCUGGAAAUGCAUAAAACUCCUCAGAAAGCCUUGUCAAAUGUGUGCUUGGGAAUAUGAACCUGUGUCUUGAAUCCUCCGUUCGAAGCUUCGCACCACUCGCUUCAACAGCCUCCCCCAGAUCGAGUGACUGUUAAAUUGUUGCCUUGUUUGUAUGUCAGCGUGAGUCCGCGUGACCAUGAUCCACUGAGACAUGUUCCUCUAGUUCUUGUUAGUCUUGUAUACUUAUAUAUAUAUCUAUGGACGUUUUGUUGAGUAUUUAUGACUUAUUAUUAUUUUAUUUUUUACAGCAGAGGAGACAGAGCAAGGGCGUAAAAAAAAAAGAAAACAAUAUGAAAAAAAAAAAAGCCCGCUACUUACCGCUCCUGAAGUGAAAUGGAAAUGUGUUAAAUCAAUGUGUGUGUGUGUGUGUGUGUGUGUGUGUGUGUGUGUGUGUGUGUCAUAUGAACAAGCUCCUCUUCUUGUCAUUUUAUUUAUCAGUUUACUUGACUUUUAUCUCCGUUGCAAAUCAUUCGUUUCCGGUUGGGUUUAAUGCGUCGUUGAGUAGCAUUAUGUGGUUGGGUUCAUCGUGUUACUUAGACGUUCUUUAUUCGGUCUGCAAGUAAUUGAACCUGACUAUCGAAAAAAAGAAACAGCAUCUGGAAAAAAAAUAUCUACUUGAGAGAGGUCAAUGUAUCACUGGACACUUGCCGUAAUGCUAAUAGUAGUAGUAAUAGUAAUAGUAAAAGUAGUAGUAGUAUUGUAAUGCGGGGAAAACCAGGUAUUUCCCCGCAUUACAGUAGUAGUAGUAGUAGUAGUAGUAGUAGUAGUAGCCAUAUGUUCAGAUGUUUGUAUAUUUAUGAGGUUAUCCGUUUUCUUGCAGUCCAGUAAUUUUUCACAUAACAUAUAUAAUUCUAUACUGUGUUUGUCUAUACUUUUGACACACAGCAUUGAUUUGGUAGACUAUUUCCUUGAUCGGUUUCUUAGUUUCAAAGCUUAAUUUAUUGAUCUGUGUGUGUGUGUGUGUGUGUGUGUGUGUGUGUCCCUCAUAGUGGCAUGUAAUAUCAUAAUCAGUGUUAUAACAAAUUUUUCUUCUGCAUCAUUUAGUUAGCGCAAAGCUUAAGCUUCAUUCAAGUGUGUUUUGUCAUGCCCUUCUAUCUGAUGGCAUAAUUGUAUAGAGUGGACUGGCCUUCAAAUGCUAUACUUCCGCAAACUUUGGUGGGUCUUUCUGGUGCUUUCAGUAUCAUGAAUGUCUUUCUAUCACCAUGAGUUCUACAAUGCUUGAUGAUGAGUUAGUAGACAAAACCCAUAAGGUAUUCUGUAUAUAACUUCCUGCCUUGUAACCAAGCACGUGAUGUGUUGGUCCAGAUAUCUGGCAGAGUAAAGACUUGGUCACCAUGAGCACUGCAACACUUGAUGGUGAGUUUAGUAAAUAAAAUCCACGAUGUAUUCAAUAUAAAACAUCUUGCGUAGCUACAUAUAAAACCUAUUAGCAUUCAUGAUCCAUACAAACUUGCAUGUCUACUGUAUCAUGUAAUCUAUAUAUAGAUACAAAUACAAAUUGUAUUGUGCUGUACAAUUUUGAUUCCCUUAACCAUUCUGAACAUUCCUUAAGAGUAAUAAUAAUAAUGAUAAUAACAAUAAUAAUAAUAAAGAUAAUAAUGAUAAUGAUAAUAAUAAUCAUAACAAUAAUAUAUGCACUACAUUAAUCUGUCACAACAUAUAAAAAAUACUGAUACUUUUCAGUUUGAUACAAAUCAAUGCACCUCAUCACUAUAGACACAUGUUCAGAAAUUGCAUAUAAUAACCAUCUAACAGGACACCAUUCCUCGACUCCGCCAUAAUUUUGAAGCAGACUCCUGCCAACCAUCGCUGAGCAUGAACAGCUUGCUAGAAAUACCCAGACAGUUACAGACCAAUGGCAUAUUUACAACUAUUGAGAAUAUAUUUUGUGCCUGCAGUGUUCUCAAAUAGUUAAUCAAUCAACAGUUAAUCAUUUUGCCUGGGUCCACCACUCAGCAGGUAAUACCCAGGUGUGAUUUACCACUCUUAAGUAAGUUUUGCCAAAGUGUUUCUGUGACAACUAACGUUUUGUGCCAGAAACAUUCCCAAGACUCCCUCAAGGUCCUCCCCUCCACCACAACCCAGCGCACAAUAGCAGGUAAUACUCAGGUGUGAUUUACCACUCUCAGGUGAGCUUUGCCAAAGUGUUUCAGUCCCUCUGCAGAAACCUGAACCAAAAUCCAAGGAUAUGCUUUUAUCAUACUGAAGGUCCCUGCCCCUACUCUGCCUCAGUGGGGGGAGAGCCCAGUCACAUGUUUUGGCAACUAUUAGUGUCAAUUUGAUAUGAAAGAAAUUGCAAAUAGAGACUGGAGUUUAGCUGUACUGUUUCCCUUGCUUCAGUGGGAGGUCAGCUUACAGUCAUAUGUCAUGACAAUUACCAGUGGAAGGAUGGCAAGACAAAAAAAAUAUGCAUCAAUAUAUGCACAUUUGAGGGAUGAAAUAUUUGUUAGAUUCAACAAGUGAAGUGUGGCAGAGCUGUUCAACAGAUUCUAAUUAAGUACAGUUUUUGUUUGGUCAUUGUGUGCUACUUUUAUGACCUUUUCAAGAGAGAAGAGUAAGCCUGGCUCAACACAAGGCCCGGCACUGAGGGAAGGGAAAACCUCCACCGAAUGUCUUCCACAGACCCUUUCUUAUUACAAAAUAAAAUGUCAAGCCACAUCAUGCACACCCCUUUGAUGAAGGGACAAGCUGCCUUGAUGAAUGACGUGCAAAGAGGAGCAUAUAAAAAUAUAUUGGCAUUUGUUGUUGACUGUCUGUUAUAUAAGUAUACAAGUGUUGAGGGUCCCACUACAAGGGAGUCGGGACUUGAAUGUUCUCUCCUCUGGUUCAGUGUAAUUUCCUAAGACAGACGGCCUGCCGGACAGAGUGAGUCACAGCACUAGGACUGUCAGCCUAACAGUGUGAGGUGCAGCAUGUACACACACUUCCCAAGGCAGAAACAUUCUUCUAAUCAUUUCUGCACUGUUUUUCUCAUACCAAAAGCUGUAAGAUAUUACAACAUGCCUUUUCAUAAAAUACAGUUUUGUCUUAAGAAGCAAACACAGUAAGAUUUUUUUUUCCUCACAGCCACUAAUUUAACACUAGCACUGAACUGACUAUGUGUUCCUUCCCCUUCAUAACAGGCAAUAUAUUUCAUAAAUUCUUUAACUGCCUUUUUUAGAUAUCUUGUUUCAGCUUUAAUAUUCUGUUUUAGCUGAUGGCAAUAAUUUUGAUUCGCAAUUUAUUUCCUGACAUCUUCACCAUAAUUUUGACGACUGGUCUUACUGCAAGUUGAGGGCGGCAGCGGCCGCCACACGGCACCAACCCUGGAGCCGCCACUCACUGAGCCCUGGAGGGUGCUCGGCCUCAAGUCUUGGAACACGGUGGGCUGUGUUUACUUUGAACAAAUCUUACAUUCCUAAAAAAAUAUCACUAAAUUUAUUCAGAAAAUAUCUGAAUGAAUUAUUUUUAAAUUAAUUUAACCUUGGUGUUUAUGUUUGAAGAAUACAAACAGUUACUUUAGGAAAAAAAAUGCAUUACUGCACAGCAAAGCACAACUUUGUACAACAUGACCUCAGUCACCAAGGUGUGCUAAGAGAGGCUGUGCUGCUGCCUGCAGUCAUGAGCAACGGCUCCUCAGCCCAGCACGGCUCCCCUCAAGCCAUCAUGACCUUCACUGACAAUUUUGGUGCAUUUUCUGCCUGUCUCUGCUUGCUGCCAGGUCUGGCAGCUGCCCUGCAGCACACACACACACACACACACACACACACACACA
This is a long non-coding RNA of Eriocheir sinensis (Chinese mitten crab), 4275 nucleotides long. RefSeq lists it as uncharacterized. The record is from RefSeq and is a predicted model, not a curated record. Lineage: Eukaryota; Metazoa; Arthropoda; Malacostraca; Decapoda; Varunidae. The transcript has 2 exons.